UGAAGAGAUCUGUAGAAGCAAUAAUUUGUUUCGUCGGAUUGGUGCGGUCAUGGCACAACGGUGUCUUGUCCAGAAAGCUUCGAGUUUUGUCCGUCCAUGAAGGGCAGCAAAAGAGCCUACUUCGGCUUGCAGAAGAGGUUCGUGCAGCCCGGGCAUGUUGAUAUGAUUUAGGUUUUGAUGUCUCAUCAUGCUUAUCUUCUGGUUCAGGCUUACUGACUAUUUCAGCUUGCAACUGUCAAAUCUUUUUGUCCAAUCAACAUCUUAUAUGGUUCAUUUCUAUUCUCGUUCCAAGGUCACACUCCCUGAUUUCUUCUUGGAAGAUCUUAAUUAAUAAGACAAGUUGGUGAAAUGAAAUAUGCUUAAUUUGCUUCAUUUCAUUCACUCUAUUGGUCCCUUCCCUUUUUUCAACACUUCUGGUUCAAGUGUAUGAGCCAUCAGUAAUGUGAAGAUAUAAGCAUUUAAAAGAUUGUUGUUCUAUAGGUUUGGACUUGGGAGAUAAUAGACAGAGAAAAUAGUUGCUGAA
Carica papaya (papaya) is the source of this 523-nucleotide long non-coding RNA. RefSeq lists it as uncharacterized. Lineage: Eukaryota; Viridiplantae; Streptophyta; Magnoliopsida; Brassicales; Caricaceae. The record is from RefSeq and is a predicted model, not a curated record.